Vicia faba (fava bean) is the source of this 357-nucleotide non-coding RNA. Lineage: Eukaryota; Viridiplantae; Streptophyta; Magnoliopsida; Fabales; Fabaceae. The record is from the annotation of a GenBank genome assembly.
AUGGAAGAACCACAAACUCUCCACUGUACAUCUUCAUCUUUCUCUGAGAUCUUCAACACCAUAACUCCCUGCAUCCGCAACAACGUCCUACUUCAGCAACUUCAUCACCUUCUGAACCUUUAUUUUCAACUCAUCAGUUGCAUCAUCAAGAUCUCCAGCACCAUAAAUCUUCAUCAACAAUUCCCCAUCAACCCUGCCUCUUCUUCAUCACCUCGCUUCAGCAUAGCAUCCUCAACCUUCAUCCUUCAUCACCAUCACCAUUACGACUUCCGCAAAUCCUAUAUGCAUCUAUUCAUCAUCUUCCUCGCACUGACUUCGUCGAAUUUGCAACAUCAUAACAACUUCUCUCAUCAAUAG